AUUGAACGCUGGCGGAAUGCUUUACACAUGCGAGUCGAACGGCAGCACGGGGGCAGCCCUGGUGGCGAGUGGCGAACGGGUGAGUAAUACAUCGGAACGUGCCCGGUCGUGGGGGAUAACGUAGCGAAAGUUACGCUAAUACCGCAUACGAUCUGAGGAUGAAAGCGGGGGACCUUCGGGCCUCGCGCGAUCGGAGCGGCCGAUGUCAGAUUAGGUAGUUGGUGGGGUAAAGGCCUACCAAGCCGACGAUCUGUAGCUGGUCUGAGAGGACGACCAGCCACACUGGGACUGAGACACGGCCCAGACUCCUACGGGAGGCAGCAGUGGGGAAUUUUGGACAAUGGGCGCAAGCCUGAUCCAGCCAUUCCGCGUGCAGGACGAAGGCCUUCGGGUUGUAAACUGCCUUUGUACGGAACGAAAAGGCUCUGGCUAAUACCUGGGGCUCAUGACGGUACCGUAAGAAUAAGCACCGGCUAACUACGUG
RNAcentral lists this ribosomal RNA (484 nucleotides) under uncultured bacterium. RNAcentral's name for it is "partial 16S ribosomal RNA". It matches the Rfam family "Bacterial small subunit ribosomal RNA", at positions 29 to 507 of the family's 1533-position model. The record is from RNAcentral.